Molecule: ribosomal RNA, 253 nt
Filed under: uncultured bacterium
Lineage: Bacteria
Description: partial 16S ribosomal RNA
Rfam family: Bacterial small subunit ribosomal RNA
Source: RNAcentral
UACGGGGGGGGCAAGCGUUGUUCGGAAUUACUGGGCGUAAAGGGCUCGUAGGCGGCCAACUAAGUCAGACGUGAAAUCCCUCGGCUUAACCGGGGAACUGCGUCUGAUACUGGAUGGCUUGAGUUUGGGAGAGGGAUGCGGAAUUCCAGGUGUAGCGGUGAAAUGCGUAGAUAUUGGGAAGAACACCGGUGGCGUAGGCGACUAGCUGGGCUGUAACUGACGCUGAGGAACGAAAGCCAGGGGAGCGAAUGGG